Non-coding RNA from Lolium perenne, 1911 nucleotides. Lineage: Eukaryota; Viridiplantae; Streptophyta; Magnoliopsida; Poales; Poaceae. The record is from RefSeq and is a predicted model, not a curated record.
AUUUCCGCCCCCUCUCUCUUCCCUAAAACGCCGCCCGCCGCGACCUCCCCAGAUCCAAUCCACGCCGCCGCCUCCUCUCCAAUCAACGCCGCCCUGCUCCUCUCGACCCGCUGCCUCUCCUCCCUCCGGCGCGGCGGCUCGUGCAGUUAAGCAUCGGUGACAUCUUCGUCGUUCCCGGGGAUUUGACGCCACGCUGCUCCACCACCUCAUCACCAAGCCUGGGAUGUGCCUCGUCAGCAGCUGCAACGAGCUACACGCGCGCCAGCGGCAUCGGCGCAUGCGCUGCCAAGCUCACCGUCGUGGCCUCAACACCAUCGCUGGCGCCUACAACGAAUCUGCCCGUCAUCUGCAUCGCAUGUGGCCCCAACUACAAUGACUAGGGCACCAACCACAUCCUCCACCACACCUUCGCUGGCGCAGGUCGUUGGAGAAACUCCUCGUCAGUGGGUGGAGGAAAACGAGCUCUUUGACCUCUAACAGGAUACGGCGACUGGGGUUAAACAGGAUCGCACACCCACCAUGCAGGGUUUAAUUUUUCGUAGUCUAUUCUAGCCAGCAAAAGAUGCAGCGUUCUCUUCUCUUCAAAGAAAUGGUUGGUACAUCAUGCUCUGCUCGCUGUUCCAUGUCCAUGCAUGAUGCUUGUGACUCGUAUGUUUGUUUUGAGAUGAAAAUCAUGCUUUGCUUUUCUAAAGUUCAGAGAAAAGCCUUAUAUAGUUAAAAAGUCCAUAAUGUUAAUUUCCCUCCAUAAUUGACGGAAACCUGCUGCAGUCUAUGUAUUAUGAAAACAUCUGAAGUAGAUGAGGUAUUUUUUCUCAGUAGGCAUAUUUAGCUCAGUGUCUUACACACUCCCUGUUGUCCAUGCUGAAUUCAAAGUUCAGUACUUGCGUCCACCUCACUGGCUCAGUUACCUGUUUACACAAUCUCUAGUGUGUUGCCGAAUAAAUACUUGGUAUGUCCAUAAUAGGUGAAGGAUGUUCUCAACCAUGUAGCUAUUCUUUGCAUCCGUGUCUGCUUCCUGACAACUAUUAUUUACUUGUCACAGAUCUGCAUUCUGCAUAUGUGUUUCUUUAUUUUUUGUUACCUAUUUCUGUUACGUCCCCAUGCUAUACAAAACUAACAAGUAGUUCCUCCUUAUGAGGAGCUCUGUGGUUCAGGAAAAACUCCUUCUGAUGAAGUGUUAUUGCUGUUCAUCCUUAUCCAGGUGAUUCUCUUUUAACUUCUUAUUUUUGAGUUAUUCCUCAGGCCAAAUGGCAGUAUAUCUUUGUGUCUUCCAGCAUUUCAUUGCAUAGCAUAGAUGAAUGUCUUGUCUCUUUCUUGCUUAACAUUGACAGUUGCUAGUUGCUUCGUUCCAAAGUUUAUUUUUGUUGAUAUAUUGUAAAUAUCUGCUGGAACUGGUGUUUUCAAGAAAAGGAUCCACAUGUUUUGGAACUUGUUAAUUCCGUGUACCUUUUUUAUGUACUCAGUACGAAAAAUGGCAGCAAAACUGCAAAGUAUCUGUUUGUUGUGAAGUCCUUUAUUUACUGGAAUGUGUAUUGCUGUAUUUACAGUGAAAGAAUGUUAAUUUCACUAGCUAACCUGGAGGGAGAAGUGGCGCUCAAGGUCACAGAUUACUUAGGAGACUGCAGGCUGUGCUUAUUGACGUUGAAGUUGGAGUAAUGCUGGGUGACGAUUCCUUCAAGCUUUUUGCAUGGUUCAACCAGCACUGUUACGGGAGUUCUAAGUCGAAGAAAUUUGGAGCCCGAAGCUUCACUAAGCACAUUCGCUGCCACUUGUAAUUAGUCCAGUUAUAUUGUAGUAAGCGUAUCUGGUUCUAUGAGCACUAUGUAAAGACCUAAUAAGCUAAUUUUGCUUAUUAUUUCAAGAAUUUCGUGUUCUAAUUUUCACUACAAUUUUAAGAAUUUUGUAUGCUCU